UCCCAAGGGUUUGGCUGUUCGCCAAUUAAAAAGGUACGCGAGCUGGGUUCAGACCGUCUGGGAGUGAAAAUUAACUUUUUGACUCACAGACAAUUCUGAAUCACAGCAAACAUAACAGACAUCACAUUUUGGAAAAAAUAAUGAUACAAGUAAAAUCGAGUCUUUUCGUUUAAUAAAAAAUAAAAUUGUCAUGGUGGCCCUUAUGGGAAUUAUGACAAAUAGAUAGUAGUGCGCUUCAUCAGCGCACAUACCAACCAUGUCACGGCGGCACAUGAUAGAAAUAUUGUGUGUGAAGUCGACUGAUAUCGGUGAAAUCCCACUGCACAUGUGCAAGGACAAUACCGAGGGAAGGAUUAAAUUCUUAAUUGGAUUUGAUACCACCCGUAGAGACUACACGUCGAACAUCUUGAAAAAGAUGAAGAUAUAGUCCGAUCCUCACAGUAAUGUGAGUAAACAAAAUGCGUGAGACAGGUUGGUCUCCUAUCUACUGCGGGCGUUGAUUCUUGAAGAGAUCUGCUUCUAGUACGAGAGGACCGAAGUGGACUGACCUCUGGUGUACCAGUUGUUCCGCCAGGAGCAUUGCUGGGUAGCUAUGUUGGGAAUGGAUAACCUCUGAAAGCAUCUAAGAGGGAAGCCAACUUUAAGAUUAGGAAUCAUUUGAGAAUCGUGAGAGAUGAUCACGUUGAUAGGCUCUAUGUGUACGCACAGCAAUGUGUUCAGCAGAGGAGUACUAAUUAUUCGAAUUCCUAU
Molecule: ribosomal RNA, 750 nt
Rfam family: Bacterial large subunit ribosomal RNA